GAUGAACGCUGGCGGCGUGCCUAAUACAUGCAAGUCGAGCGAACAGACGAGGAGCUUGCUCCUCUGACGUUAGCGGCGGACGGGUGAGUAACACGUGGAUAACCUACCUAUAAGACUGGGAUAACUUCGGGAAACCGGAGCUAAUACCGGAUAAUAUAUUGAACCGCAUGGUUCAAUAGUUAAAGACGGUUUUGCUGUCACUUAUAGAUGGAUCCGCGCCGCAUUAGCUAGUUGGUAAGGUAACGGCUUACCAAGGCAACGAUGCGUAGCCGACCUGAGAGAGUGAUCGGCCACACUGGAACUGAGACACGGUCCAGACUCCUACGGGAGGCAGCAGUAGGGAAUCUUCCGCAAUGGGCGAAAGCCUGACGGAGCAACGCCGCGUGAGUGAUGAAGGUCUUCGGAUCGUAAAACUCUGUUAUUAGGGAAGAACAAAUGUGUAAGUAACUAUGCACGUCUUGACGGUACCAAAUCAGAAAGCCACGGCUAACUACGU
RNAcentral lists this ribosomal RNA (496 nucleotides) under uncultured bacterium. RNAcentral's name for it is "partial 16S ribosomal RNA". It matches the Rfam family "Bacterial small subunit ribosomal RNA", at positions 28 to 506 of the family's 1533-position model. The record is from RNAcentral.